UACGGAGGGUGCAAGCGUUGCUCGGAAUCACUGGGCGUAAAGCGUACGCAGGCGGCCGUUCAAGUCGGAUGUGAAAGCCCGGGGCUCAACCCCGGAAUUGCAUUCGAAACUGUACGGCUUGAGUACGGGAGAGGGAAGCAGAAUUCCUGGUGUAGAGGUGAAAUUCGUAGAUAUCAGGAGGAAUACCUGUGGCGAAAGCGGCUUCCUGGCCCGAUACUGACGCUCAUGUACGAAAGCGUGGGGAGCAAACAGG
This 253-nucleotide ribosomal RNA is filed under the name uncultured bacterium. RNAcentral describes it as "partial 16S ribosomal RNA". It matches the Rfam family "Bacterial small subunit ribosomal RNA", at positions 524 to 776 of the family's 1533-position model. The record is from RNAcentral.